RNAcentral lists this ribosomal RNA (408 nucleotides) under Triticum aestivum (bread wheat). RNAcentral's name for it is "partial small subunit ribosomal RNA". Lineage: Eukaryota; Viridiplantae; Streptophyta; Magnoliopsida; Poales; Poaceae. The record is from RNAcentral.
AUGGCCAGCGACGAAGCGCUCCGCCGCUUCUACUCCGACGACGACGACUCCGACGGCGGCAUGUAUGCGUAUCACCACUACUUUGACGACGGCCAGGAUGACGCCGGGAGGGACGAGGAGGGGGCGCCGCAGCAGCCGGUGGUCAGGAGGAAGAAGGCCGCCGACCGCAGGGCGCCGCGUGGGCCGCUGAGGUCGGUCAGGCGGCGCUCGGGGCUGCCGACGGGAUGCGGCGACGGCGCCGGGCCGUGGGGCGGAAAGCAGCGGAGGAAGCUCCUGGCUUGGCGGCUGCGGUGGAAGGUUCAGCGGCGGCAGGCGAGAGAGAAGGCGCGGUGGUCCGGCGUCAAGGCGCCGCCGGGCCUGCUCGACCCGAUCUUCCUGGACCUCGAGAUUGAUCUUGGUGAUGAUUAA